UCUCCGUUGGUGAACCAGCGGAGGGAUCAUUACCGCGUGCAAACUCAUAACCCUUUGUGAACCUAUAUCUGUUGCUUCGGCGGCUCGCUCUCGGGCGAGCCCGCCGGUAAUAUCAGUAUCUCUGUUUGAACCCGACGAUACUUCUGAGUGUUCUUAGCGAACAGUUAAAACUUUUAACAACGGAUCUCUUGGCUCUA
RNAcentral lists this unclassified non-coding RNA (197 nucleotides) under plant metagenome. RNAcentral's name for it is "partial contains small subunit ribosomal RNA, internal transcribed spacer 1, and 5.8S ribosomal RNA". The record is from RNAcentral.